Pelobates cultripes (western spadefoot toad) is the source of this 419-nucleotide non-coding RNA. The record is from the annotation of a GenBank genome assembly. Lineage: Eukaryota; Metazoa; Chordata; Amphibia; Anura; Pelobatidae.
AAUGGAUGUAUUGUGUGUUUCUUGUUGUGUGUAAGGGAUGCAUUGUGUGAAUCUGUGUUUGUAUGCAUAAGGGAUGCAAAGUGUGUUUCUGUGUAUGUAAGGGAUGCAAUGUGUGUGUCUGUAAGGGGUGCGUUGAGUGUGUGUAAGAGAUGCAUUGUGUGUGUGUGUGUGUAAGAGAAGCAAUGUGUGUUUGCAUGUGUGUGUAAGGGAUGCAUUGUGUGUUUCUGUGUAUAUGUGCAAAGGAUGCAUUGUCUUGAUGUGUAAGGGUUGCAUUGUGUGUUUCUCUGUGUGUAAGGGAAGCAUGUUGUGUUUCUGUGUGUAUAGGGAUGCAUUGUGUGUGUGUGUGCGCGUGGUGUGAAAGAGCUCCCUGUCCUGCCCUCUGUCCUAUAGAGCUCUCCCUUCCAUUCCUUAGAGAUCUC